UCUUAUAUGUGAUUUUCUCUUUUAUGGUUUUAUUUGUAAAAUCCCUAGUAAAGGUUUGAUAAGUAAGUAAGGAUUUGUCUUUAUUCUUUCUUAGUUACACUUGGUUUUCAGGUUUCAGUAUCUUAUUUCGUGUGUGUGUGUGUGUGUGUGUGUUUUCUCUCUCCCUUCAACUAGGCUGCACCUCGUGUGAUGACACCAUUGCUAAGUACUGUGCCAGACAUAAAAUCCACUCAGUUACUUCAUAUUUAUGGCUUUCCAAACGCAAGCUUUAAAAGAAAUUCCCGGGGAUAAGUAGGAUCAGAAAGACACCCAAUAAUAUGUGUGUGCACACGAUGGCGAGGAAAGCUGUGCUCCUGGUGGUUUAAAUAGCGGGAGAUGGCAAGGAAGAUGCAUUUUCCGGUUUAUCUACAUUCUUUAGGGAAGAGUUUGAUUUCUCUACAGAUUCUGAAGUGGCUUCCCAGUUACAGAUAUGCAAUUAUCCCAGUACAGGGGGAAAAAAAACCCUGAAGUACAACUUUUUGGAUGUGUAAAAUCACCAAGCAUGCAGCAAAUUAACGAGCGGCGGAGGGUGUGUUUUGUGGCAACUGGUUUCCAUUUCUGUAAUGUCGCUUGCCACCCCAAACUCCAAGCGGUGCCAGAUUCCAGGGUUUUCAGGCACUUACCCAGGGUUUGGAAUGAGGGACAGCAGAGGCUGUGGUGUCUGUAUGAUAUAUGGUUUAUUUACACAUAUACACAACCUGAGCCUAGAAUGGAAGGGUUCACAGCAUUUACCCUCAAGAGGGUAUUGGUUUCAGAAAUCAGGCAUUGCUCUCCCUUGCAGGCUUCAGCCUGUUUCUUCCUCCAGUUUCCAGCUUACAUGCACACACAACUUAGCUCUGGCCUUUGUCUCGUCUAACUAACUACCAAUGAGUUGAAGGAGGAGAGCUCACCCAUUUGGCAUCUGGCACAGAGCCACUUCCUUUGUUACCUUCACGACCCAGAUUUAGAGGACUGUUAUCACACCAGGACGUUAGCCUGGCUAUUCCGGGAAUUUGAAUCCUGGCUUGGAUUUUGACGCUUGCUCUAUCCAGAAAUUAGAAGGGUCUAAGAACACAGACUAAUCCACCCUUAAUCAAAAACCUCGCAACACUGUUAUGAAUCUGUAGCCCGCCUGCCUUAUCUGCACCAAAAUGUAUAUUUAACUUACGUUGUGCUUUUUGACAUCACCAGGCGAUGAGCAUCAGGGUCACACGCAUGCUCAGCAAACAAUGGUGACUUGUAUGCAUGGAACAACUGCUGUAUAUCAAACACCGUGGAGCCUAGAUAGUGGCCAUUGCAGAUGCAACCAUCCCUGACCACUGGGCAUGCUGGUUGAGACUGCUGAGAGGUGGUAAAGUCCCACAGGUUGCUGUUCUCCGGAUCACUGUCCCUCCCUCUCUCACAUGCCAACAUGUUGUCCCCCCACCAAGAAGGGGAUUUAGGGCAGUGCAAGCAGUGAGGUUGCACCAGGCAUGUACCCAAGCAGGACACCUUCUCAAAACCCGGUAAGCGCUUGUCUGGCUUCGGAAAGGAGGUGGGAGGGCACUGACAGGGCCAUAGGCUCCUCCUGCCUCCUUUCCAAAGUCAGGCAAGGGCUUACCGGGCUUUAGGAAGGAGGUAGGAGGGCUCUAGGACCCUGAGCGAGUUUUGUGCCUUCUUCCCCAAGCCCGGCUUAAGCAAGGGCCGGGGAGAGAGCAUCAAAUGGCCCUGCACAGGGUGAAAUAUUAUGAAGGUCCACCCCUGCCUCACCUGCAGGGUUGCCAUAUUCCCAAAAGCGAAAAUCUGGACAAAUCUUGGCAAGGGGGCAAAGUUGUUGAGCUUUUGGGGGGAACAUCUCCCCCUUUUUUUCUUUAAAAAAAUUGCCCUAGUUGCCGAUUCUGUCAAAAGUCCCACUGGACGCCAUUUUGACAGUGUCUGGUGAAACCCGGACGUACGGCAACCCGUAAGACCUGGAACGAUCAAAUUUUGUCCUAGAAUUUUGCAAGUUGACAUCAAAACACACAAAAGUUGGGAUUUGGGGAUUAUCUGCAAAGAAUGCAAGAAACAGCCGGGUUUUCUUCUGUUUUCUCUCUCAAUGCAAAGUAACAGCAGCUCAGCUUGGCUCACAUGAAGAAGGCCUCUCAUUUCCCCCCCCCCUCGAAGUGGCACCGGGGGAGACUGACAGAGGCAGAAAGCAAUUAUCGGGGUUGAAAUCUUGCCAGGCUAACAGGCAGAGACACCUCUCCUCUUCUUCAAGAGCUGCAGGCAUGGAAUAAUUACAACGGGGCACGAUCUCCCAUUUUGAUACCUGUAUCCCAGCCACCGACGUCUUGCCCCGGCUGCAUCAGCUGUCAGACGGCCUCCUGCUGUGCAAACAACAGGCCAGGUAAGGUCUCAGAAAAACAUCUCCCCACAGGUGAUCUCCACCUUUGCCUGUGGAAAUCAGAAGAGGGGUCUUGGCAGGUGCUGGCCCGGGCUGUUGGAUACUUGCCAGAUCUCUGCAAGGCUGGAGGUGACUAGCUGGUACCUCGUUGCUUCCUUGCAUGGAAACAUCUCCUUGGUGGAUCCAGAGCUUGGCUCCAUGUUCUGCUCAAUCUUGCAAUAGAGGCUGGUCCAUUGGGAUGAAUGGGGCACUGCCCCACCAAGCUCAGCUUUACCCUCACUUUACCCCACCCCACAUUAGUAUACCGCUUGAUUGUAAUAAACCCUCAAAGCAGUUUGCAAAAAGCCAUGCAGUUUUAAUGUGGAUUUUUAAAAAUCGAUUUGGUUUAUUUUCACAAGGUUUGUCCAACCAGUCCAGCAAAGCAGAGGAGGAAAUGAUAGCUAGCCUUUUUUCCCUCAACAGGGAGGAGGAUGGACACAACUAGAAUAAGUUGACUCACCUGUUUUCACCUCUCUGCUGUGAUACAUUAUUGCAGUCAAACCAACAAGUCAUGUCUUGCUAGAGAGGAACACGAAGGUGCUGAGGCUCACAGAGCUUUGCUGUAAAAUUUUGCUAGAGAGAACUCUGUCAGAUCACUUCCCUUGUCUGCCUUGUCAGGAAGCUGUAACGCUACAUACUUCCUGCCUGGGCAGCCUCCUCUUUCUUCAUCAUGUCUCCAAGCUGACCACACAUGAAUGUCUGAGCUCUGCAGCUCUGACACCACUUUGAACUUAGAUUUUGGACUUUUGUAACUUAGAUAGUAGUUACAAAAGUCCAAAAUCCUGCCUUCAUUUUGCUACUGUACCUGUUGCUUCAAGACCUAGAUUAUUUAAUGAGAGAGCAAGGAGACGGGAGACUCAGCCCAGGAGGGAAGCGAAGUGCUGGCAACCCCCAGAUUUGCUUUUCUGCCGCUUGGUUAUAAUCCUUCAUUGGAACUGACACAUUGAUAGCCACAGUUUUUUCGCGGAAGUGACCUUCAUGUUGUCCAUCGAUUCCCAGUGGCUAUCAACAACUCGCAAUUGGAGUGACAGCCCCGGUCAAAGAUAAUUGUAUUGCUUUAUUCAUUCCUAUAAACCGUUUUGAGGUUCUAUUGCAAUCAAGCAGUACAGAAAUCUUGUGAGAUAAAUAAGAAAUAAAACAGCUGAUGAAAUUGGACAUCUCACUGAAGACCAUGAAGACAGGGAAGAAAGAAAAACGGCCUGAUGAGUCCUUUCUAAAAUGAGAUUGAAUUUCAACCCUGAAACUCGACAAAGGUUUAGGAUCACAAACCGGCUUGCUAUAAUAGGAUCAGAAUGAAAAUCGCCUUAAGACCAUUGACCUGCUUUUCAAAAUGCCAGCACCAUGGGAGGAAAACCCAGAAGAACUGUUAAGAGAAGAGUGACUACAUUUAGAAAGAAGAGAACAUCUACCAUUAAAGAGAGUGCAUCCCAGCCUGGUAAGUAGCAGCAAAGUGAUGUCAUGACGAGGUCCAUUAUAUAGGCAGAUAUGCACCUCCCAACCAUGUGCUUUCUCCAUAGUCCUUUUGGACAGUUUUCCACCUUAAGUAACUGAUAAAAUAUUUAAAGCAGGAUACAUCUCUGCAUAGA
Zootoca vivipara (common lizard) is the source of this 4005-nucleotide non-coding RNA. The record is from RefSeq and is a predicted model, not a curated record. NCBI's taxonomy places the organism in Eukaryota, Metazoa, Chordata, Lepidosauria, Squamata, Lacertidae.